This 1255-nucleotide ribosomal RNA is filed under the name Pristimantis sobetes. RNAcentral describes it as "partial 16S ribosomal RNA". It matches the Rfam family "Bacterial large subunit ribosomal RNA", at positions 834 to 2925 of the family's 2925-position model. Lineage: Eukaryota; Metazoa; Chordata; Amphibia; Anura; Strabomantidae. The record is from RNAcentral.
CGAACUUAGCGAUAGCUGGUUUCUCAAUAAAAGAAUUUUAGUCCAACCUAAAGCAAUAAAUAUAUACACAAAAUUUACCUCACUUUAGAGCAAUUCAAAUAAGGUACAGCCUAUUUGAUACAGGACCCAACCUUAAUUAAUGGGUAACACUAAAUUUACAUCCACAAGUAGGCCUAAAAGCAGCCACCUUUUUAAAAGCGUCACAGCUUAAUCAUGUAUAUUAUAAUACCAUAAUUACACUCGACCCCUUUAAUUGUACUGAGAACUUCUAUAAAACUAUAGAACUUUUUAUGCUAAAACUAGUAACAAGAGGUAAAACCUCUCUAUAAUGCAAGUAUAAGCCAGCAAGAAUCCAUCACUGUCAACUAACAGACCUAAAAGAAAGUAGCAACCCUCCCAGAAAACCCUACUUACCUUAACUGUUAAUCUAAUACUAGAGCAUUUCAAGAAAGAUUAAAAGAAAGAGAAGGAACUCGGCAAAUAUUAACCCCGCCUGUUUACCAAAAACAUCGCCUCUUGCUAUUAUUAUAAGAGGUCUAGCCUGCCCAGUGACUUCUGUUCAACGGCCGCGGUAUCCUAACCGUGCGAAGGUAGCGUAAUCACUUGUCUUCUAAAUAGAGACCAGUAUGAAAGGCAUCACGAGGGUUAAACUGUCUCCUCCCCCUAAUCAGUGAACCUAAUCCCCCCGUGAAGAAGCGGGGAUUUUUUUAUAAGACGAGAAGACCCUAUGGAGCUUAAAACAUCACACACCUGCUGCUAUUUUUUAUUUACCCAGGUAUUUUCCCCCCCCCCCCGGCAGGCUGAUUAAGUGUUUUUGGUUGGGGUGACCGUGGAGAAAAAUUUAUCCUCCACAAUGAAAGGAAUUACUCCUAAACAGUAAGCUACAACUUUAUGUAUCAGCAAACUGACAUCCAUUGACCCAAUAUAUUGAUUAACGAACCAAGUUACCCUAGGGAUAACAGCGCAAUCCACUUUGAGAGCCCCUAUCGACAAGUGGGCUUACGACCUCGAUGUUGGAUCGGGGUAUCCUAGUGGUGCAGCCGCUACUAAAGGUUCGUUUGUUCAACGAUUAAAACCCCACGUGAUCUGAGUUCAGACCGGAGCAAUCCAGGUCAGUUUCUAUCUAUAACAGAGCUUUUUUUAGUACGAAAGGACCAAAACAGCAUGGCCAAUAUAUAAACAAGCCGUAGUUAAUUAUUUUUGACUUACCUCAAAAAAUUACUAACCUAACCCUCACCUCAAGAAAAGAGUAGUA